UGACGGUACCUGCAGAAGAAGCGCCGGCUAACUACGUGCCAGCAGCCGCGGUAAUACGUAGGGCGCGAGCGUUGUCCGGAAUUAUUGGGCGUAAAGAGCUUGUAGGCGGUUUGUUGCGUCUGCUGUGAAAGACCGGGGCUUAACCCCGGUAUUGCAGUGGGUACGGGCAGACUAGAGUGCAGUAGGGGAGACUGGAAUUCCUGGUGUAGCGGUGAAAUGCGCAGAUAUCAGGAGGAANCACCGAUGGCGAAGGCAGGUCUUCUGGGCUGUAACUGACGCUGAGAAGCGAAAGCAUGGGGAGCGAACAGGAUUAGAUACCCUGGUAGUCCAUGCCGUAAACGUUGGGCACUANGUGUGGGGGACAUUCCACGUUUUCCGCGCCGUANCUAACGCAUUAAGUGCCCCCCCUGGGGAGUACGGCCGCCAAGGCUAAACUCAAAGGAAUUGACNGGGGCCC
This 457-nucleotide ribosomal RNA is filed under the name uncultured bacterium. RNAcentral describes it as "bacterial SSU rRNA". It matches the Rfam family "Bacterial small subunit ribosomal RNA", at positions 470 to 922 of the family's 1533-position model. The record is from RNAcentral.